Molecule: ribosomal RNA, 497 nt
Filed under: uncultured bacterium
Lineage: Bacteria
Description: partial 16S ribosomal RNA
Rfam family: Bacterial small subunit ribosomal RNA
Source: RNAcentral
GAUGAACGCUGGCGGCGUGCCUAAUACAUGCAAGUCGAGCGAACGGACGAGACGCUUGCUUCUCUGAUGUUAGCGGCGGACGGGUGUGUAACACGUGGAUAACCUCCCUAUAAGACUGGGAUAACUUCGGGACACCGGCGCUAAUACCGGAUAAUAUUUUGAACCGCAUGGUUCAAAAGUGAAAGACGGUCUUGCUGUCACUUAUAGAUGGAUCCGCGCUGCAUUAGCUGGUUGUUACGGUAACGGCUUACCAAGGCUACGAUGCAUAGACGACCUAAGAGGGUGAUCGGCCACACUGGAGCGGGGACACGGUCCAGACUCCUACGGGAGGGAGCAGUAGGGAAUCUUCCGCAAUGGGCGAGAGCCUGACGGAGCAGCGCCACGUGAGUGAUGAAGGUCUUGGGAUCGUAAAACUCUGUUAUUAGGGAAAAACAUAUGUGUAAGGAACUGUGCACAUCUUGACGGUAACUAAUCAGAAAGCAACGGCUAACUACGUG